Long non-coding RNA from Neopelma chrysocephalum (saffron-crested tyrant-manakin), 831 nucleotides. RefSeq lists it as uncharacterized. The transcript is spliced from 3 exons. The record is from RefSeq and is a predicted model, not a curated record. NCBI's taxonomy places the organism in Eukaryota, Metazoa, Chordata, Aves, Passeriformes, Pipridae.
CCUUGGGGACACCGAGACUCCUGGGACAUCGACCCCUCCCUCUGGAUCAUCCCCGUGGGAUUGGGAACAGCCGGAGCUUCUCCCGGAGCCGUGAACGGGACGGAGGAUUUGGGGGAUUUGGGGGGCUCUGGGACCCCCCCUUGGGGACACCGAGACCCCCCUGGGGACACUGAGACCCCUUUGGGGACACUGAGACCCCCUUGGGGACAAGGAAACCCCCCUGAGGACACCGAGACCCCCCUGAGGACCCCAAGAAUCCCGGGAUUGUCCCCAUGGGAUCGGGAGCCGGAUGGGACCGAGGGCGUCCCUUGGAUCCAUCCUGAGGACUUUUUGGGACCGGGGGGGUCUCCAGAUGGGACUGAGGAGCUCCCACAGGGACCUGGGGGGGUCCAUAUGGGAUUGGGGGGACCAGGAGUGUCCAUAUGGGAUUUUGGGGGGACCAGGACCCUCCAUAUGGGAUUGGGGGGAUCAGGACCCUCCAUAUGGGACUGGGGGUGUCCCUGUGGGGCCAGGACCCUCCCUAUGGGACCACAAGCUCUGUAGGGGACCAGGAGUGUCCAUAUGGGAUCGGGGGGACCAGGACCCUUCAUAUGGGAUUGGGGGGGACCAGGAGUGUCCAUAUGGGAUUGGGGGGACCAGGAGUGUCCAUAUGGGAUUGGGGGUGUCCAUACAGAGCUGGGACCACCCCCUUUGGGGCCAGGACCCCCCAUAUGGGACCAAGACACUCCAUAUAGGAUCAAGACCCUCCAUAUGGGAGCAGGAGCUUCCAUAGGGGACCGAGAGGAUCCAGACAGAGCCGGGACCAUCCCUGUGGGGCCAGGAGGCUCCAUA